UACGAAGGGGGCUAGCGUUGCUCGGAAUCACUGGGCGUAAAGGGUGCGUAGGCGGGGCUUUAAGUCAGGGGUGAAAUCCUGGAGCUCAACUCCAGAACUGCCUUUGAUACUGAAGAUCUUGAGUCCGGGAGAGGUGAGUGGAAUUCCUAGUGUAGAGGUGAAAUUCGUAGAUAUUAGGAAGAACACCAGUGGCGAAGGCGGCUCACUGGCCCGGUACUGACGCUGAGGCGCGAAAGCGUGGGGAGCAAACAGG
This 253-nucleotide ribosomal RNA is filed under the name uncultured bacterium. Its description in RNAcentral is "partial 16S ribosomal RNA". It matches the Rfam family "Bacterial small subunit ribosomal RNA", at positions 524 to 776 of the family's 1533-position model. The record is from RNAcentral.